This 244-nucleotide ribosomal RNA is filed under the name Tetraselmis chui. RNAcentral's name for it is "Tetraselmis chuii partial Bacterial small subunit ribosomal RNA". It matches the Rfam family "Bacterial small subunit ribosomal RNA", at positions 1322 to 1515 of the family's 1533-position model. The record is from RNAcentral. Lineage: Eukaryota; Viridiplantae; Chlorophyta; Chlorodendrophyceae; Chlorodendrales; Chlorodendraceae.
GAAGUUGGAAUCGCUAGUAAUCGUGGAUCAGCACGCCACGGUGAAUUUGUACCCGAGCUUUGGACACCUUGCCCGUCACAUUGCGGAAAUAAGUUCCGCUCGAAAAAUAAUUAGAAAUUUUCAGAUUUAUAAAAGAUUAGAAAUCUUCUAAAUAGUUAUAAAUUUUGAAAAUGUUUGACAAUAUUUCACAGUGAGGUUUAUAACUGCAAUGAAGUCGUAACAUGGUUAGGGUUGGGGAACCAGU